This 497-nucleotide ribosomal RNA is filed under the name uncultured bacterium. RNAcentral describes it as "partial 16S ribosomal RNA". It matches the Rfam family "Bacterial small subunit ribosomal RNA", at positions 28 to 507 of the family's 1533-position model. The record is from RNAcentral.
GAUGAACGCUGGCGGCGUGCCUAAUACAUGCAAGUCGAGCGAACGGACGAGAAGCUUGCUUUUCUGAUGUUAGCGGCGGACGGGUGAGUAACACGUGGAUAACCUACCUAUAAGACUGGGAUAACUUCGGGAAACCGGAGCUAAUACCGGAUAAUAUUUUGAACCGCAUGGUUCAAAAGUGAAAGACGGUCUUGCUGUCACUUAUAGAUGGAUCCGCGCUGCAUUAGCUAGUUGGUAAGGUAACGGCUUACCAAGGCAACGAUGCAUAGCCGACCUGAGAGGGUGAUCGGCCACACUGGAACUGAGACACGGUCCAGACUCCUACGGGAGGCAGCAGUAGGGAAUCUUCCGUAGUGGGCGAAAGCCUGACGGAGCAACGCCGCGUGAGUGAUGAAGGUCUUCGGAUCGUAAAACUCUGUUAUUAGGGAAGAACAUAUGUGUAAGUAACUGUGCACAUCUUGACGGUACCUAAUCAGAAAGCCACGGCUAACUACGUG